This 423-nucleotide ribosomal RNA is filed under the name uncultured bacterium. RNAcentral's name for it is "partial 16S ribosomal RNA". It matches the Rfam family "Bacterial small subunit ribosomal RNA", at positions 360 to 776 of the family's 1533-position model. The record is from RNAcentral.
AAUUUUGGACAAUGGGGGAAACCCUGAUCCAGCCAUCCCGCGUGUAUGAUGAAGGCCUUCGGGUUGUAAAGUACUUUUGGCAGAGAAGAAAAGGUAUCCCCUAAUACGGGAUACUGCUGACGGUAUCUGCAGAAUAAGCACCGGCUAACUACGUGCCAGCAGCCGCGGUAAUACGUAGGGUGCAAGCGUUAAUCGGAAUUACUGGGCGUAAAGGUGUGGUAGGGGUUUCGGAAAGAGAAAGGGGAAACCCAAGGGUCCACCUUUGAAACGGCAUUUUUACUUCCCGGGUUAGGGAAGUCAGAAGGGGGUAAAAUUCCACCUGUAACAAUUAAAAGCGGAGGUAAGGGGGAGAAAACCGGUGGCGAAGGGAACCCCCUGGGAUAAUACUGACGCUCAGACACGAAAGCGUGGGGAGCAAACAGG